Molecule: ribosomal RNA, 465 nt
Filed under: Vreelandella stevensii
Lineage: Bacteria; Pseudomonadati; Pseudomonadota; Gammaproteobacteria; Oceanospirillales; Halomonadaceae
Description: partial 16S ribosomal RNA
Rfam family: Bacterial small subunit ribosomal RNA
Source: RNAcentral
CCUACGGGGGGCUGCAGUGGGGAAUAUUGGACAAGGGGGGCAACCCUGAUCCAGCCAUGCCGCGUGUGUGAAGAAGGCCCUCGGGUUGUAAAGCACUUUCAGUGAGGAAGAACGCCUGGUGGUUAAUACCCAUCAGGAAAGACAUCACUCACAGAAGAAGCACCGGCUAACUCCGUGCCAGCAGCCGCGGUAAUACGGAGGGUGCGAGCGUUAAUCGGAAUUACUGGGCGUAAAGCGCGCGUAGGUGGCUUGAUAAGCCGGUUGUGAAAGCCCCGGGCUCAACCUGGGAACGGCAUCCGGAACUGUCAAGCUAGAGUGCAGGAGAGGAAGGUAGAAUUCCCGGUGUAGCGGUGAAAUGCGUAGAGAUCGGGAGGAAUACCAGUGGCGAAGGCGGCCUUCUGGACUGACACUGACACUGAGGUGCGAAAGCGUGGGUAGCAAACAGGAUUAGAUACCCUAGUAGUC